UACAGAGGUCUCAAGCGUUGUUCGGAUUCAUUGGGCGUAAAGGGUGCGUAGGCGGCGCGGUAAGUCGGGUGUGAAAUUUCGAGGCUUAACUUCGAAACUGCAUUCGAUACUGCCGUGCUAGAGGACUGGAGAGGAGACUGGAAUUUACGGUGUAGCGGUGAAAUGCGUAGAUAUCAGGAGGAACACCAAUGGCGAAGGCAGCACUCUGGGACGGUACUGACGCUGAGACGCGAAAGCGUGGGGAGCAAACAGG
RNAcentral lists this ribosomal RNA (253 nucleotides) under uncultured bacterium. Its description in RNAcentral is "partial 16S ribosomal RNA". It matches the Rfam family "Bacterial small subunit ribosomal RNA", at positions 524 to 776 of the family's 1533-position model. The record is from RNAcentral.